AGUGAACGCUGGCGGUAGGCUUAACACAUGCAAGUCGAACGGCAGCACAGUAAGAGCUUGCUCUUACGGGUUGCGAGUGGCGGACGGGUGAGGAAUACAUCGGAAUCUACUUUUUCGUGGGGGUUAACGUAGGUAAACUUACGCUCAUACCGCAUACGACCUUGGGGUGAAAGCGGGGGAACUUCGGACCUUGUGCGAUUGAAUGAGCCGAUGUCGGCUUAGCUAGUUGGCGGGGUAAAGGCCCAGCAAGGGGACGGUACGUGGCUGGUCUGAGAGGAUGGUCAGCCGCACGAGAACGGAGACACGCUCCAGGGGCCUACGAGAGGCAGCAGUGGGGAAUAGUGGACAAUAGGCGCAAACCUUACCCAGUCAGCCCGCGUGGGUUAAAGAGGCCUUCGGGGUGUAAAGCCCUUUUGUUGGGUAAAAAAAGCUGCAGGUUAAUACGCCGCGGUACUGACGGUACCCAAAGAAGAAGCACCGGCUAACUACGUG
RNAcentral lists this ribosomal RNA (492 nucleotides) under uncultured bacterium. Its description in RNAcentral is "partial 16S ribosomal RNA". It matches the Rfam family "Bacterial small subunit ribosomal RNA", at positions 29 to 507 of the family's 1533-position model. The record is from RNAcentral.